ACAUUUUAAGAAAAGUAUUCGAUCACGUAUUAAAACACAAUUAAGGCACAUGUGUAACAAGUAGUCGUGAUCAUGCAUCAUGAAUAAUGAAUUAUAACUACAUGCAUUGAUGCAAUAUGCUUAUUAUUGGCCAUGUAUGGAUGAUUGGGCAUUACAAUCCUUCCCUCCUUAUAAAAUUUCGCCCUCGAAAUUUGACGUACCGAACAAUUCUGGAUAUUUGCUAUGCAUUUCUUCCUCUCUUUCCCACGUGGCUUCUUCAAUAGAUUGAUUUCUCCACAAUACCUUAACUAAUGGAAUCUUUUUAUUUCUCAGCUCCUUGACUUUUUGAUCAAUAAUUUGAAUUGGUUUCUC
RNAcentral lists this long non-coding RNA (351 nucleotides) under Erythranthe guttata (spotted monkey flower). Its description in RNAcentral is "long non-coding RNA (EGUT_LNC001897)". Lineage: Eukaryota; Viridiplantae; Streptophyta; Magnoliopsida; Lamiales; Phrymaceae. The record is from RNAcentral.